UACGUAGGUGGCGAGCGUUGUCCGGAUUUACUGGGCGUAAAGAGCGCGCAGGCGGUCAUUCAAGUCGCGUGUGAAAGCCCCCGGCUCAACUGGGGAGGGUCACGCGAUACUGAUCGACUCGAAGGCAGGAGAGGGAAGUGGAAUUCCUGGUGUAGUGGUGAAAUGCGUAGAUAUCGGGAGGAACACCAGUGGCGAAGGCGACUUCCUGGCCUGUUCUUGACGCUGAGGCGCGAAAGCUAGGGGAGCAAACGGG
RNAcentral lists this ribosomal RNA (253 nucleotides) under uncultured bacterium. RNAcentral describes it as "partial 16S ribosomal RNA". It matches the Rfam family "Bacterial small subunit ribosomal RNA", at positions 524 to 776 of the family's 1533-position model. The record is from RNAcentral.